UCCUUGUUAGUAUAGUGGACAGUCUCUCUGUCUGUCAUGUAGAAGACUGGAGUUCGAUUCCCUGAAAGGGAG
Molecule: non-coding RNA, 72 nt
Organism: Pangasius djambal
Lineage: Eukaryota; Metazoa; Chordata; Actinopteri; Siluriformes; Pangasiidae
Source: the annotation of a GenBank genome assembly